GAUGAACGCUGGCGGCGUGCUUAACACAUGCAAGUCGAACGAAGCACUUUAUUUGAUUUCCUUCGGGACUGAUUAUUUUGUGACUGAGUGGCGGACGGGUGAGUAACGCGUGGGUAACCUGCCUUGUACAGGGGGAUAACAGUUGGAAACGGCUGCUAAUACCGCAUAAGCGCCCAGCAUCGCAUGCUGCAGUGUGAAAAACUCCGGUGGUAUAAGAUGGACCCGCGUUGGAUUAGCUAGUUGGUGAGGUAACGGCCCACCAAGGCGACGAUCCAUAGCCGAGCUGAGAGGGUGACCGGCCACAUUAGGACUGAGACACGGCCCAAACUCCUACGGGAGGCAGCAGUGGGGAAUAUUGCACAAUGGGCGAAAGCCUGAUGCAGCGACGCCGCGUGAGCGAAGAAGUAUUUCGGUAUGUAAAGCUCUAUCAGCAGGGAAGAUAAUGACGGUACCUGACUAAGAAGCACCGGCUAAAUACGUG
This 481-nucleotide ribosomal RNA is filed under the name uncultured bacterium. Its description in RNAcentral is "partial 16S ribosomal RNA". It matches the Rfam family "Bacterial small subunit ribosomal RNA", at positions 28 to 507 of the family's 1533-position model. The record is from RNAcentral.